Molecule: ribosomal RNA, 502 nt
Filed under: uncultured bacterium
Lineage: Bacteria
Description: bacterial SSU rRNA
Rfam family: Bacterial small subunit ribosomal RNA
Source: RNAcentral
UAGUAGGUUAGUUGUCUCGUGCACGAGACGACGCGUGGCGGCGUGACCUAACACAUGACAAGGUCGAGCGAGUAGUAAUUUCCGUUCGGGUAUUAGAAGCGUAGGCGGGCGGGACGGGUGAAGUAACACUGGGCAACCUGCCUCAUAGAGGGGAAUAGCCUUUCGAAAGGAAGAUUAAUACCGCAUAAGAUUGUAGCUUCGCAUGAAGUAGCAAUUAAAGGAGCAAUCCGCUAUGAGAUGGGCCCGCGGCGCAUUAGCUAGUUGGUGAGGUAACGGCUCACCAAGGCGACGAUGUGUAGCCGACCUGAGAGGGUGAUCGGCCACAUUGGGACUGAGACACGGCCCAGACUCCUACGGGAGGCAGCAGUGGGGAAUAUUGCACAAUGGGGGAAACCCUGAUGCAGCAACGCCGCGUGAGUGAUGACGGCCUUCGGGUUGUAAAGCUCUGUCUUCAGGGACGAUAAUGACGGUACCUGAGGAGGAAGCCACGGCUAACUACGUG